CCUACGGGUGGCAGCAGUGGGGAAUAUUGGACAAUGGGUGCAACCCUGAUCCAGCCAUGCCGCGUGUGUGAAGAAGGCCCUCGGGUUGUAAAGCACUUUCAGUGAGGAAGAACGCCUGGUGGUUAAUACCCAUCAGGAAAGACAUCACUCACAGAAGAAGCACCGGCUAACUCCGUGCCAGCAGCCGCGGUAAUACGGAGGGUGCGAGCGUUAAUCGGAAUUACUGGGCGUAAAGCGCGCGUAGGUGGCUUGAUAAGCCGGUUGUGAAAGCCCCGGGCUCAACCUGGGAACGGCAUCCGGAACUGUCAAGCUAGAGUGCAGGAGAGGAAGGUAGAAUUCCCGGUGUAGCGGUGAAAUGCGUAGAGAUCGGGAGGAAUACCAGUGGCGAAGGCGGCCUUCUGGACUGACACUGACACUGAGGUGCGAAAGCGUGGGUAGCAAACAGGAUUAGAUACCCUAGUAGUC
Molecule: ribosomal RNA, 465 nt
Filed under: Vreelandella stevensii
Lineage: Bacteria; Pseudomonadati; Pseudomonadota; Gammaproteobacteria; Oceanospirillales; Halomonadaceae
Description: partial 16S ribosomal RNA
Rfam family: Bacterial small subunit ribosomal RNA
Source: RNAcentral